Polyodon spathula (Mississippi paddlefish) is the source of this 789-nucleotide long non-coding RNA. RefSeq lists it as uncharacterized. The transcript has 5 exons. The record is from RefSeq and is a predicted model, not a curated record. NCBI's taxonomy places the organism in Eukaryota, Metazoa, Chordata, Actinopteri, Acipenseriformes, Polyodontidae.
AGUAAUAUAACCUGGAUGUUGGUGGCAGAAAGAACUGUUUCAUUUAUUUUUUACUUUAAUUUAAUUUACAGAUUUAAAAUGUCAGCUCAUGUUUUAGUUUCUAGACCGAAGUUUCUAGACCAAUCUUCCUGUGAAAAAAACAAAUCAGCCAGUGUUGCCAGAUCAGAGGUUUUCCCUCCAGAUCUAGAGGUUUCACGUUUCUGCUCAGGGCCAUCUGGAGGUGGCGGAUGUGCUGUGACCAGUGGUGUAGUGGUGUACGCAGGAAUUAGAUCUUAUUUGAAUCAUUCAAGAACUUCUGAAAAGGACUUUAGAUCAAUCCAUCAACCAAAUAAGGUUCUGGAGCAGAUAGGAGCUCAGGAGAAGAAAAUAGCUGCUCUCUACCAGGCUAUAAGGGAUAAAGACGCCCCAUGAAGGCUGGUGGGUGAAGUUUGUGAGAUCACAGAGACCAUUGAAUCUCUCUAGCAAGCAUGAGGAAGCCAAGCAGUCUCUUGAGAAAGAUGGGGGACACCCGCAUGAUGCUGGAGAAGGAAAUCGCCAAAAAAGCACACACCAAUCCUGACUGUGAGAAAUGCAGGAGCCAUCGUACAUGCUACCCAACCCUCAUCUGACUGGCUGGAUAUUACUACUGAAAUAAACAGUGUGAAUGACAGAACAAAACAAAAAGUUUUUUUCAUUUCACACCAGUAAUUGCUGAUGAAGGAUGUUUGAAUAUACUUGGUAGCAUUCUAGAAGCUUAUAACUACAAGCCCUCUAUUACCUUCUUUAAAGAAAAUGUAGUGGAAUUAAUAA